This 71-nucleotide transfer RNA is filed under the name Cavia porcellus (domestic guinea pig). It matches the Rfam family "tRNA". From Rfam's summary of the family: Transfer RNA (tRNA) molecules are approximately 80 nucleotides in length. Their secondary structure includes four short double-helical elements and three loops (D, anti-codon, and T loops). Lineage: Eukaryota; Metazoa; Chordata; Mammalia; Rodentia; Caviidae. The record is from Rfam by way of RNAcentral.
GGGAAUGUAGCUCAGUGGUACAGCACCUGCCUAGUAUGCAUGAAGUCCUGAGUUUGGCUCUAGCAUUACCA